CCUACGGUGUGCUGCAGUGGGGAAUAUUGGACAAUGGGCGAAAGCCUGAUCCAGCCAUGCCGCGUGUGUGAAGAAGGCCUUCGGGUUGUAAAGCACUUUCAGUGGGGAAGAAAGCCUUGGGGCUAAUACCCUCGAGGAAGGACAUCACCCACAGAAGAAGCACCGGCUAACUCCGUGCCAGCAGCCGCGGUAAUACGGAGGGUGCGAGCGUUAAUCGGAAUUACUGGGCGUAAAGCGCGCGUAGGCGGUCUGAUAAGCCGGUUGUGAAAGCCCCGGGCUCAACCUGGGAACGGCAUCCGGAACUGUCAGGAUAGAGUGCAGGAGAGGAAGGUAGAAUUCCCGGUGUAGCGGUGAAAUGCGUAGAGAUCGGGAGGAAUACCAGUGGCGAAGGCGGCCUUCUGGACUGACACUGACGCUGAGGUGCGAAAGCGUGGGUAGCAAACAGGAUUAGAUACCCCAGUAGUC
RNAcentral lists this ribosomal RNA (465 nucleotides) under Vreelandella stevensii. RNAcentral's name for it is "partial 16S ribosomal RNA". It matches the Rfam family "Bacterial small subunit ribosomal RNA", at positions 338 to 795 of the family's 1533-position model. The record is from RNAcentral. Lineage: Bacteria; Pseudomonadati; Pseudomonadota; Gammaproteobacteria; Oceanospirillales; Halomonadaceae.